AGAAUAAGCACCGGCGAACUCCGUGCCAGCAGCCGCGGUAAUACGUAGGGUGCAAGCGUUAAUCGGAAUUACUGGGCGUAAAGCGUGCGCAGGCGGUUCUGUAAGACAGAUGUGAAAUCCCCGGGCUUAACCUGGGAAUUGCAUUUGUGACUGCAGGACUAGAGUUCAUCAGAGGGGGGUGGAAUUCCAAGUGUAGCAGUGAAAUGCGUAGAUAUUUGGAAGAACACCAAUGGCGAAGGCAGCCCCCUGGGAUGC
This 255-nucleotide ribosomal RNA is filed under the name Clostridioides sp. ZZV14-6104. Its description in RNAcentral is "partial 16S ribosomal RNA". It matches the Rfam family "Bacterial small subunit ribosomal RNA", at positions 483 to 737 of the family's 1533-position model. Lineage: Bacteria; Bacillati; Bacillota; Clostridia; Peptostreptococcales; Peptostreptococcaceae. The record is from RNAcentral.